This is a long non-coding RNA of Fukomys damarensis (Damara mole-rat), 209 nucleotides long. RefSeq lists it as uncharacterized. The record is from RefSeq and is a predicted model, not a curated record. The transcript has 3 exons. NCBI's taxonomy places the organism in Eukaryota, Metazoa, Chordata, Mammalia, Rodentia, Bathyergidae.
CAUUAAUCAGUAACACAACAUCAGGCAUGGUGCUCCUGUUGGACACGGGCAUGUAUCCAGCCUACCUCACCUUUCCCAGUCACCUACCCUCAUUAAAAUAAAAUCUCAGCCUCUUAUUUCUUAAGACACUAAAUAAGGUCAGCUGCUUGUAUUUGAGGUUAAAAAUAUACCAGCCGGAAAGAGUAUGUAAUGACAAGGAAAAUAAGCAC